RNAcentral lists this ribosomal RNA (898 nucleotides) under Staphylococcus aureus. Its description in RNAcentral is "partial 23S ribosomal RNA". It matches the Rfam family "Bacterial large subunit ribosomal RNA", at positions 1573 to 2471 of the family's 2925-position model. The record is from RNAcentral. Lineage: Bacteria; Bacillati; Bacillota; Bacilli; Caryophanales; Staphylococcaceae.
AAGACAUUGUGUCUUCGAGUCGUUGAUUUCACACUGCCGAGAAAAGCCUCUAGAUAGAAAAUAGGUGCCCGUACCGCAAACCGACACAGGUAGUCAAGAUGAGAAUUCUAAGGUGAGCGAGCGAACUCUCGUUAAGGAACUCGGCAAAAUGACCCCGUAACUUCGGGAGAAGGGGUGCUCUUUAGGGUUAACGCCCAGAAGAGCCGCAGUGAAUAGGCCCAAGCGACUGUUUAUCAAAAACACAGGUCUCUGCUAAACCGUAAGGUGAUGUAUAGGGGCUGACGCCUGCCCGGUGCUGGAAGGUUAAGAGGAGUGGUUAGCUUCUGCGAAGCUACGAAUCGAAGCCCCAGUAAACGGCGGCCGUAACUAUAACGGUCCUAAGGUAGCGAAAUUCCUUGUCGGGUAAGUUCCGACCCGCACGAAAGGCGUAACGAUUUGGGCACUGUCUCAACGAGAGACUCGGUGAAAUCAUAGUACCUGUGAAGAUGCAGGUUACCCGCGACAGGACGGAAAGACCCCGUGGAGCUUUACUGUAGCCUGAUAUUGAAAUUCGGCACAGCUUGUACAGGAUAGGUAGGAGCCUUUGAAACGUGAGCGCUAGCUUACGUGGAGGCGCUGGUGGGAUACUACCCUAGCUGUGUUGGCUUUCUAACCCGCACCACUUAUCGUGGUGGGAGACAGUGUCAGGCGGGCAGUUUGACUGGGGCGGUCGCCUCCUAAAAGGUAACGGAGGCGCUCAAAGGUUCCCUCAGAAUGGUUGGAAAUCAUUCAUAGAGUGUAAAGGCAUAAGGGAGCUUGACUGCGAGACCUACAAGUCGAGCAGGGUCGAAAGACGGACUUAGUGAUCCGGUGGUUCCGCAUGGAAGGGCCAUCGCUCAACGGAUAAAAGCUACCCCGG